RNAcentral lists this ribosomal RNA (2746 nucleotides) under Escherichia coli. RNAcentral's name for it is "partial 23S ribosomal RNA". It matches the Rfam family "Bacterial large subunit ribosomal RNA". The record is from RNAcentral. Lineage: Bacteria; Pseudomonadati; Pseudomonadota; Gammaproteobacteria; Enterobacterales; Enterobacteriaceae.
CAUAGGUUAAUGAGGCGAACCGGGGGAACUGAAACAUCUAAGUACCCCGAGGAAAAGAAAUCAACCGAGAUUCCCCCAGUAGCGGCGAGCGAACGGGGAGGAGCCCAGAGCCUGAAUCAGUGUGUGUGUUAGUGGAAGCGUCUGGAAAGGCGCGCGAUACAGGGUGACAGCCCCGUACACAAAAAUGCACAUAUUGUGAGCUCGAUGAGUAGGGCGGGACACGUGGUAUCCUGUCUGAAUAUGGGGGGACCAUCCUCCAAGGCUAAAUACUCCUGACUGACCGAUAGUGAACCAGUACCGUGAGGGAAAGGCGAAAAGAACCCCGGCGAGGGGAGUGAAAAAGAACCUGAAACCGUGUACGUACAAGCAGUGGGAGCCUCUUUAUGGGGUGACUGCGUACCUUUUGUAUAAUGGGUCAGCGACUUAUAUUCUGUAGCAAGGUUAACCGAAUAGGGGAGCCGAAGGGAAACCGAGUCUUAACUGGGCGUUAAGUUGCAGGGUAUAGACCCGAAACCCGGUGAUCUAGCCAUGGGCAGGUUGAAGGUUGGGUAACACUAACUGGAGGACCGAACCGACUAAUGUUGAAAAAUUAGCGGAUGACUUGUGGCUGGGGGUGAAAGGCCAAUCAAACCGGGAGAUAGCUGGUUCUCCCCGAAAGCUAUUUAGGUAGCGCCUCGUGAAUUCAUCUCCGGGGGUAGAGCACUGUUUCGGCAAGGGGGUCAUCCCGACUUACCAACCCGAUGCAAACUGCGAAUACCGGAGAAUGUUAUCACGGGAGACACACGGCGGGUGCUAACGUCCGUCGUGAAGAGGGAAACAACCCAGACCGCCAGCUAAGGUCCCAAAGUCAUGGUUAAGUGGGAAACGAUGUGGGAAGGCCCAGACAGCCAGGAUGUUGGCUUAGAAGCAGCCAUCAUUUAAAGAAAGCGUAAUAGCUCACUGGUCGAGUCGGCCUGCGCGGAAGAUGUAACGGGGCUAAACCAUGCACCGAAGCUGCGGCAGCGACACUAUGUGUUGUUGGGUAGGGGAGCGUUCUGUAAGCCUGUGAAGGUGGCCUGUGAGGGUUGCUGGAGGUAUCAGAAGUGCGAAUGCUGACAUAAGUAACGAUAAAGCGGGUGAAAAGCCCGCUCGCCGGAAGACCAAGGGUUCCUGUCCAACGUUAAUCGGGGCAGGGUGAGUCGACCCCUAAGGCGAGGCCGAAAGGCGUAGUCGAUGGGAAACAGGUUAAUAUUCCUGUACUUGGUGUUACUGCGAAGGGGGGACGGAGAAGGCUAUGUUGGCCGGGCGACGGUUGUCCCGGUUUAAGCGUGUAGGCUGGUUUUCCAGGCAAAUCCGGAAAACCAAGGCUGAGGCGUGAUGACGAGGCACUACGGUGCUGAAGCGACAAAUGCCCUGCUUCCAGGAAAAGCCUCUAAGCAUCAGGUAACAUCAAAUCGUACCCCAAACCGACACAGGUGGUCAGGUAGAGAAUACCAAGGCGCUUGAGAGAACUCGGGUGAAGGAACUAGGCAAAAUGGUGCCGUAACUUCGGGAGAAGGCACGCUGAUAUGUAGGUGAAGCGACUUGCUCGUGGAGCUGAAAUCAGUCGAAGAUACCAGCUGGCUGCAACUGUUUAUUAAAAACACAGCACUGUGCAAACACGAAAGUGGACGUAUACGGUGUGACGCCUGCCCGGUGCCGGAAGGUUAAUUGAUGGGGUUAGCGGUAACGCGAAGCUCUUGAUCGAAGCCCCGGUAAACGGCGGCCGUAACUAUAACGGUCCUAAGGUAGCGAAAUUCCUUGUCGGGUAAGUUCCGACCUGCACGAAUGGCGUAAUGAUGGCCAGGCUGUCUCCACCCGAGACUCAGUGAAAUUGAACUCGCUGUGAAGAUGCAGUGUACCCGCGGCAAGACGGAAAGACCCCGUGAACCUUUACUAUAGCUUGACACUGAACAUUGAGCCUUGAUGUGUAGGAUAGGUGGGAGGCUUUGAAGUGUGGACGCCAGUCUGCAUGGAGCCGACCUUGAAAUACCACCCUUUAAUGUUUGAUGUUCUAACGUUGGCCCGUAAUCCGGGUUGCGGACAGUGUCUGGUGGGUAGUUUGACUGGGGCGGUCUCCUCCUAAAGAGUAACGGAGGAGCACGAAGGUUGGCUAAUCCUGGUCGGACAUCAGGAGGUUAGUGCAAUGGCAUAAGCCAGCUUGACUGCGAGCGUGACGGCGCGAGCAGGUGCGAAAGCAGGUCAUAGUGAUCCGGUGGUUCUGAAUGGAAGGGCCAUCGCUCAACGGAUAAAAGGUACUCCGGGGAUAACAGGCUGAUACCGCCCAAGAGUUCAUAUCGACGGCGGUGUUUGGCACCUCGAUGUCGGCUCAUCACAUCCUGGGGCUGAAGUAGGUCCCAAGGGUAUGGCUGUUCGCCAUUUAAAGUGGUACGCGAGCUGGGUUUAGAACGUCGUGAGACAGUUCGGUCCCUAUCUGCCGUGGGCGCUGGAGAACUGAGGGGGGCUGCUCCUAGUACGAGAGGACCGGAGUGGACGCAUCACUGGUGUUCGGGUUGUCAUGCCAAUGGCACUGCCCGGUAGCUAAAUGCGGAAGAGAUAAGUGCUGAAAGCAUCUAAGCACGAAACUUGCCCCGAGAUGAGUUCUCCCUGAGACUUAGAGUCUCCUGAAGGAACGUUGAAGACGACGACGUUGAUAGGCCGGGUGUGUAAGCGCAGCGAUGCGUUGAGCUAACCGGUACUAAUGAACCGUGAGGCUUAACCUUACAAC